UACGUAGGGUGCGAGCGUUAAUCGGAAUUACUGGGCGUAAAGCGUGCGCAGGCGGCGCGUUAAGACAGGUGUGAAAGCCCCGAGCUUAACUUGGGAAUUGCGCUUGUGACUGGCGUGCUGGAGUGUGGCAGAGGGAGGUGGAAUUCCACGUGUAGCAGUGAAAUGCGUAGAGAUGGGGGAGAACACUCGUGGCGAAGGCGGCCAGCUAGACCAGUUCUGACACUGAGGCGCGACAGCGUGGGGAGCAAACAGG
Molecule: ribosomal RNA, 253 nt
Filed under: uncultured bacterium
Lineage: Bacteria
Description: partial 16S ribosomal RNA
Rfam family: Bacterial small subunit ribosomal RNA
Source: RNAcentral